AGAGUUUGAUCCUGGCUCAGAACGAACGCUGGCGGCAGGCUUAACACAUGCAAGUCGAACGCACCGCAAGGUGAGUGGCAGACGGGUGAGUAACGCGUGGGAACGUGCCCUUCAGUUCGGGAUAACCCAGGGAAACUUGGGCUAAUACCGGAUACGUGCGAGAGCAGAAAGAUUUAUCGCUGAAGGAUCGGCCCGCGUCUGAUUAGCUAGUUGGUGGGGUAAUGGCCCACCAAGGCGACGAUCAGUAGCUGGUCUGAGAGGAUGAUCAGCCACAUUGGGACUGAGACACGGCCCAAACUCCUACGGGAGGCAGCAGUGGGGAAUAUUGGACAAUGGGCGCAAGCCUGAUCCAGCCAUGCCGCGUGAGUGAUGAAGGCCUUAGGGUUGUAAAGCUCUUUCGUCCGGGACGAUAAUGACGGUACCGGAAGAAGAAGCCCCGGCUAACUUCGUGCCAGCAGCCGCGGUAAUACGAAGGGGGCUAGCGUUGUUCGGAAUCACUGGGCGUAAAGGGCGCGUAGGCGGCCUGAUAAGUCGGGGGUGAAAGCCUGUGGCUCAACCACAGAAUUGCCUUUGAUACUGUCGGGCUUGAGACCGGAAGAGGUAAGUGGAACUGCGAGUGUAGAGGUGAAAUUCGUAGAUAUUCGCAAGAACACCAGUGGCGAAGGCGGCUUACUGGUCCGGUUCUGAGCUGAGGCGCGAAAGCGUGGGGAGCAAACAGGAUUAGAUACCCUAGUAGUCC
RNAcentral lists this ribosomal RNA (739 nucleotides) under uncultured bacterium. RNAcentral describes it as "bacterial SSU rRNA". It matches the Rfam family "Bacterial small subunit ribosomal RNA", at positions 8 to 796 of the family's 1533-position model. The record is from RNAcentral.